Molecule: ribosomal RNA, 253 nt
Filed under: uncultured bacterium
Lineage: Bacteria
Description: partial 16S ribosomal RNA
Rfam family: Bacterial small subunit ribosomal RNA
Source: RNAcentral
UACGGAGGGUGCGAGCGUUGUCCGGAAUCAUUGGGCGUAAAGGGCGCGUAGGUGGCCUGGUCAGUUCGUGGUGAAAGCGCGGGGCUCAACUCCGCGUCGGCCAUGAAUACUGCUGGGCUGGAGCACUGUAGAGGCAGGCGGAAUUCCGGGUGUAGCGGUGGAAUGCGUAGAGAUCCGGAGGAACACCGGUGGCGAAGGCGGCCUGCUGGGCAGUGGCUGACACUGAGGCGCGACAGCGUGGGGAGCAAACAGG